This 292-nucleotide ribosomal RNA is filed under the name uncultured Coriobacteriaceae bacterium. RNAcentral describes it as "partial 16S ribosomal RNA". It matches the Rfam family "Bacterial small subunit ribosomal RNA", at positions 47 to 339 of the family's 1533-position model. Lineage: Bacteria; Bacillati; Actinomycetota; Coriobacteriia; Coriobacteriales; Coriobacteriaceae. The record is from RNAcentral.
CCUAACACAUGCAAGUCGAACGAUUAAGACGCCUUCGGGCGUGCAUAGAGUGGCGAACGGGUGAGUAACACGUGACCAACCUGCCCCUACCCCGGGAUAACGCAAGGAAACCUGCGCUAAUACCGGAUACUCCUUCCCCUGCUCCUGCAGGGGUCGGGAAAGCCCAGACGGUAGGGGAUGGGGUCGCGGCCCAUUAGGUAGACGGCGAGGUAAUAGCUCACCGUGCCUGCGAUGGGUAGCCGGGUUGAGAGACCGACCGGCCACAUUGGGACUGAGAUACGGCCCAGACUCC